AUUGAACGCUGGCGGCAGGCCUAACACAUGCAAGUCGAGCGAGCGGCGGACGGGUGAGUAAUGUCUGGGAAACUGCCCGAUGGAGGGGGAUAACUACUGGAAACGGUAGCUAAUACCGCAUACUAUCAGAUGUGCCCAGAUGGGAUUAGCUAGUAGGUGAGGUAAUGGCUCACCUAGGCGACGAUCCCUAGCUGGUCUGAGAGGAUGAUCAGCCACACUGGAACUGAGACACGGUCCAGACUCCUACGGGAGGUAGCAGUGGGGAAUAUGGCACAAUGGGCGCAAGCCUGAUGCAGCCAUGCCGCGUGUGUGAAGAAGGCCUUCGGGUUGUAAAGUACUUUCAGCCGGGAGGCGUUACCCGCAGAAGAAGCACCGGCUAACUCCGUGCCAGCAGCCGCGGUAAUAC
Molecule: ribosomal RNA, 406 nt
Filed under: uncultured bacterium
Lineage: Bacteria
Description: partial 16S ribosomal RNA
Rfam family: Bacterial small subunit ribosomal RNA
Source: RNAcentral